This 46-nucleotide non-coding RNA is filed under the name Schistosoma mattheei. The record is from RNAcentral. Lineage: Eukaryota; Metazoa; Platyhelminthes; Trematoda; Strigeidida; Schistosomatidae.
GCACUGCUGAGGAGUCCCACACUAGGACGAAACAGCCGUUUAGUGC